Long non-coding RNA from Pomacea canaliculata, 501 nucleotides. RefSeq lists it as uncharacterized. The record is from RefSeq and is a predicted model, not a curated record. The transcript is spliced from 3 exons. Lineage: Eukaryota; Metazoa; Mollusca; Gastropoda; Architaenioglossa; Ampullariidae.
ACACUGUACUGACAGGCAGUACUGACAGGUAGUCUAUACACUGUACUGACAGGCAGUACUGACAGGUAGUCUAUACACUGUACUGACAGGUAGUCUAAACACUGUACUGACAGGCAGUACUGACAGGCAGUCUAUACACUGUACUGACAGGCAGUCUAAACACUGUACUGACAGGCAGUACUGACAGGCAGUCUAUACACUAUACUGACAGGUAGUCUAUACACUGUACUGACAGGUAGUCUAAACACUGUACUGACAGGCAGUACUGACAGGCAGUACUGACAGGUAGUCUAUACACUGUACUGACAGGUAGUCUAAACACUGUACUGACAGGCAGUCUAUACACUGUACUGACAGGCAGUCUAUACACUGUACUGACAGGCAGUACUGACAGGCAGUCUAUACACUGUACUGGACAGGCAGUACUGACAGCAGUCUAUACACUGUACUGACAGGCAGUACUGGACAGGUAGUCUAUACACUGUACUGACAGGCAGUACU